GACAGAGGGUGCAAACGUUGUUCGGAAUUACUGGGCGUAAAGCGUGUGUAGGCGGCCAAGCAAGUCGGAUGUGAAAGCCCCGGGCUCAACCCGGGAAGUGCACUCGAUACUGCUAGGCUGGAGUGUGGGAGAGGUUGGUGGAAUUCUCGGUGUAGAGGUGAAAUUCGUAGAUAUCGAGAGGAACACCGGCGGCGAAGGCGGCCAACUGGACCAACACUGACGCUGAGACACGAAAGCGUGGGGAGCGAACAGG
This 253-nucleotide ribosomal RNA is filed under the name uncultured bacterium. RNAcentral's name for it is "partial 16S ribosomal RNA". It matches the Rfam family "Bacterial small subunit ribosomal RNA", at positions 524 to 776 of the family's 1533-position model. The record is from RNAcentral.